GACGAACGCUGGCGGCGUGCUUAACACAUGCAAGUCGAACGAGAAUCUGUGGAAAGAGGAUUCGUCCAAUUGAAGCAGAGGACAGUGGCGGACGGGUGAGUAACGCGUGAGGAACCUGCCUUUCAGAGGGGGACAACAGUUGGAAACGACUGCUAAUACCGCAUGACAUAUAGAUGUCGCAUGGCAUUUAUAUCAAAGAUUUAUCGCUGAAAGAUGGCCUCGCGUCUGAUUAGCUAGUUGGUGAGGUAACGGCCCACCAAGGCGACGAUCAGUAGCCGGACUGAGAGGUUGAACGGCCACAUUGGGACUGAGAUACGGCCCAGACUCCUACGGGAGGCAGCAGUGGGGAAUAUUGGGCAAUGGGCGCAAGCCUGACCCAGCAACGCCGCGUGAAGGAAGAAGGCUUUCGGGUUGUAAACUUCUUUUGUCAGGGACGAGUAGA
RNAcentral lists this ribosomal RNA (442 nucleotides) under uncultured bacterium. Its description in RNAcentral is "bacterial SSU rRNA". It matches the Rfam family "Bacterial small subunit ribosomal RNA", at positions 28 to 453 of the family's 1533-position model. The record is from RNAcentral.